Acanthosepion pharaonis is the source of this 109-nucleotide non-coding RNA. NCBI's taxonomy places the organism in Eukaryota, Metazoa, Mollusca, Cephalopoda, Sepiida, Sepiidae. The record is from the annotation of a GenBank genome assembly.
UGGCCACAUGACGUUGAAACACUGAUUCCUGUACAACCACUAAAGUUAAGCAACAUCGAGCCUGGUCAGUACCUAGAUGGGUGACCACUUGGGAAUACCAGGUGCUAUA